This 259-nucleotide ribosomal RNA is filed under the name uncultured bacterium. Its description in RNAcentral is "partial 16S ribosomal RNA". It matches the Rfam family "Bacterial small subunit ribosomal RNA", at positions 524 to 776 of the family's 1533-position model. The record is from RNAcentral.
UACGUAGGGUGCAAGCGUUGUCCGGAAUUAUUGGGCGUAAAGAGCUCGUAGGCGGUUUGUCGCGUCUGCUGUGAAAACUCAGGGCUUAACCCUGAGCCUGCAGUGGGUACGGGCAGACUAGAGUGUGGUAGGGGGAGACUGGAAUUCCUGGUGUAGCGGUGGAAUGCGCAGAUAUCAGGAGGAACACCGAUGGCGAAGGCAGGUCUCUGGGCCAUUACUGACACUGGAGAAGCGAAAAGCCAUGGGGGAGCGAAACAGG